GGCUCCUUCCUGCAGAGGCUCCCCGAUGGGGGAGGGCGGCUCGCUUGCCCUCACUCUGGGACUCACUUAGGUAUCGGGCUGCUGGGACAAGCGGAAGCUGGUGUGCGAGUUUGGAGAGGGAAGGGGUUGAGCUAUGAGGAUGAAAUAAAAGAGAGGAUGGAGGAGACAAUAUCCUGUUUUAUUUGCGAUAUUCUCUACUUAAGAUUAUGUAAUAUUUCAUGAUGCAAUGCAGCAGCAGGUGACAGCUCUGCCUUUUGGGAGCCUCGCUUUCUGCUGCCUCUAGCCCUGCAAUCGCCUCUGCAGACUCGCCCGCUGGCCGCGCCUGCUGCCGCCUUCCAGCUCUUCCCUCUCGGGAUGGCUGAGGUCAAAGCUUGCUCUGCCCUCCACGUGCAAAAAUUAAAAACCGAGGCUAAAACAAGACAAAAUAAAACCUAGACAUAUUCUAGAGAAUGUUUUUAUUUGAUUGCUUCUUGAAAUUUCAUUUCCCUAAAAUGUGUUCUUACAAUAAUAUUUUGCUUAAAUAUUUGGGCCAAGGAAGACUUUUAAAAAUGAUCACCUUUGCAGCUUUCUCACUUGGAAGUUGGCUAGUACUCAACCCUCUGAUGAAUGGAAGAGUAACAACUUGCUUUUCUCUCUGCUGAGGAGUGGACCCAUGGAGACAGGCAGCUUCGAGGGAGUCUCUCUUUCUAAGGCUCAGGUAUGUGGUACGGGUUGAAAUUCUGCAAUGUGUGACUGAGCUCCCACCUACAGACUGGACAACGUUUUGUCCCUGCCCUAAUCUUGUCUUUGUGGAGGUGUUGGAGGGAAGAAGGGCCAGGGACAUUUCCAGCCCCGUGGCAAGUUCCUGUCUGCACAGUUUCGGCUGUUUAAUUUUCAGAUUAUUUAAUGACAGAUUAUUUUUAGGGUAAACAUAGGAGUAAGCCCUCUAUCUCUUAGUUUAAGGACUCUUCUCUCUCAGAGGGGUAGGCAGGUGCUUCUGGACCUCUGCAGGCAUGGAGUUGUUCGGGCAGGGCCUCCCGUAGCUGCCGACGAGAGGUCGGGAGAGGGCUCUGGCUGACAGAAGGUGGCCUGCGGGGCGCUAAUGCUGCGUGCGCCUCCACUCGUAUGGCCACGCGGGACGCGCUCAGUGACCGCGUGUGCUGUGGCAGAGGUUAGGGCAUGCUGAGCAUGUUGUCUGUGCUACUGUCUCUGCCUGCUGCCUGUACAGGCGACACAUACCAUGUCCACCUUACCUGCCCCCACACAGCCUGCUCCCGGCUCAGUGGCAGUCAGUAAAUAUGUGCCGAAUGAAUGCAUAAAUGAAUGAAUGCCAGGGACAUAUUUCUGCUUUGAGAAGUUGGGGAGUAAUUUACAGCAAAAAUAACAAGGAAAGACUUCCCUGGAGGGAUAGUAAUUCAAAUAAUAAUCUUUCCAUCCCCUCCGCCUCCCCUCCUAGGAGGCUUUGCCGCUUAAACAUAUUUACUAUUAUCAGUUAUUAUUAUCAAAUAUUAGCACUAUACUACUGCUAGCAACAGAAGUUUGCAGCAGGGAUACUAUUUUUAGACAUAUUGUCAUGUACUCCUCCCUCUGGGUCCUCCAGGAAAAGAGAAGAAACUUACUCAACAACAAAGAUUUCUCGUUUUUGAAAUUCAAAUCCAAAUUUUUGGGCAACCUAAUAAGUUGGAAAGCAAAGCUUUGCAGAGAGAGAGAGACAGACAGUGAGAGAGCGAGAGGGCGCACACACCUUCGCUAUUCCUCAGCGUGCCGGGCAUGGAGGAUUCAGAGCCCGUGUCUCUCCCACAAGCAUAAAGAGUUGCCACCACCGCGUUCCUGCUCCAAGGAACACGAGGGAGUUAAGAGGAAAGAAGCCCAAAGGCCCACCCUUGCUAGCACAGAGGUCUGUGGGGAGAAGGGAGGGAUGUCAGGGUCAUGGGUGUCAGUUCUUUCUAAGCGCUUAGGUCCUCCCUCGGGUGGGUGCUUCAGAGAUGCUCGGAUUGGCACAGGACCCGGGCCAGUGCACAGACACUUGAAGAACAACGAAUCAUGGCUUUUCAGGCCACAAACGGUUGGGGUGGUUUGUUAGGCAGCAAUAGCUAACUGUUAUGGCUGAUAAUCCCCUUUCGUUGCUAAAUCUAAAGGAUCGUCUUCCUGGUGGCAGAGAUGGAUAAAGGCUAAUCAGAGAUGUUUCCCCUCUCACCACAGGCACACGUGUGAUGAGUUCUGGCUAUCUGGAUGUGGGCAGAAGGGUUGUGCCACUUUCAGGGCUAGCCCAUAAACUCCUCUGCCUCCCGAGCCUUUCUGCUGGGUGGGGAGGGCUGGCAGAGGCAGGGCCACAGGAUGGAAGACUGCCACUCACCAGGAGCACCUGCAGCGGACUUUGUGUGAGUGGGAAACAAGCUUUUGCUGUGUCAAGUCACAGAGCCUUUGAGGUUCAUGACAGCCGUGAGAGUCACUUACUGUCACCGUCUGCCUCCUUCUCCUGCUUGGCCUCCCAUGGCUGCCGUGGGCAGUGCUGAUGCCUUUACGGCUCCUCCUCCCUGGGUUUCCUUGGCACCACACUCUGUGGUCUUCCUCCAGGGAAGUGGCUCUCCAGCGCCGUGCACACGAAGCCCAGCAUUCUGAGCUAAAGCUGCUGUCCUGCUCCUGCUCCUCUCCCUUGCCGCCGAGCCCUCAAAGCCCGUGUGUCUCCACAGACACACCAGCCUCCCAUUCACUUAGGGUUUCCUUCUGCUGCUUUCUCUGCUUGAGAUACUCUCCCCACUUUUUGCCCUCCUGACUUUCGCAGGGCUGACCUAUCACUAGUUCCAAGAACACUGGGCUCUGCAGUGGGGGGCUGCUCCCAUGGGCUCCGACAGAAUCCCACUUGCCAGGAUUGUGGGCCUUACUGUUGUAGCACUUCUCCAUCUCUUUCACCAGCUCACUCCGGGCUCGAGCACUCGCAACCUGUUGUGCUCACUACCGCGUCCCAAAUGCAUAAACAAGUGCUUGCCACUUGGCCGUGCUGACCACCGCUCGGCAAAGCAUCAGCUGAUGAGCCUGCAGGGCUGGGAAGCAGCAGUGCACGGAGUCUAGAAUCCAGACUGUGUUCGACAACAGGUGAUGAAUGAAGAAGUCAACCAGAAAAAAAUGCUGCUGCUUACUUAGUCUUCCUUAGAGAUUAUCUGUACUUGGUCCUUUUGAUGAUGACUAGACUGUUUGCAAUUAUAGGUACGGAACAGCCUUCUUUCAAAUGGUGUUUCCUUCAAUUAUCAUUAGUGAUAAAAAUUGGGCAGGAUUUAUUUCACAUAUUACAAUGCAGAAUUUGAUGUUGUUUUUAUGUGAACAUAACUGCUCUGUAAAACCUCAAGCAUUUUUCUCUAUUAGAAUUGGCAGAUGGGAGGUUAUAGAAACUUGUGGCCAAUUGAGAAGUUCUCAAACCAUUGCUGUCGACACGGAGGGAGCAAAGGGCAGAGCGUGGUGUGUGUGAGUCACUUCUUUGGGAUGGCCAUACCCCUGGCUGCAUCUGUUCCUGGCUAUGGUGCUGCUUUCUACCACCGGACACUCGGCACCGGAAGACAAGGUGUGCUGCCCGAGGCCACACGGCAACGGGUUGGAUGCCACACGUGGAAGCAGGUAUACGUGUGUUCCCCAGGGGCUGACAUCCUGUUUCCAGCACAUAGAAUGAGUCACAGAAAGCCUCUGCUGAGUCAUAAUGACACACCCAGAAGCCGAUGACACGCACCUAGGAGGUCGCAUACAGACAAGAAUUCCUGAGGGCUGCCCUCAGCCCAUGUUCACUGGGGAACACUGUGGAAGGGGAAGUGGCCGUGACAUUUGCUUUGGUUGCCACACUGGCAUUAUUUGAGCCUGUCCUGCCUGUGAGCUUCUGACUCUGACUUCUGACCUCAGGAGAAGCACACAUGGGACCAAGGAAGGGGCCCAGGCAUCCUGCGUGUGCCUUACCAGGCUGGCGACAAUGACAGCAGCUGAAAUCUCACGGAAUGCUUAGUAUGUUUCGAACUUGUCACCUCAGUGACCUCGGUGAGCCCUCCGGUGGCCCACGAGGGCCGCCACUGCCAGCCUCCUGCAGCUGGACCCGGGCUGUGUGGCCCCGUCCUCUAGGGGGCCUGUCUGGGCCGGCGCUGCCCACUGCAUGAAGCGUCCAUCCUGGGGGGCUUUUCUGUGGCAGGGGCUCCAUUUCACAGGCCUCCAGGGGUCCUGCCCUUGGAAGAAGUCUUCUCUAAUGUUCCUUUUCCUGGUCUAUUCCCCAGAUGCCCUCUUCCACUUCCAGAAUGCUUAGGCUUCUGUAUAAGAACAAUUUCUUAGAGCCCAAAGUGAGGUCAGGUGCAUCGGAGUAUGCAAGGAAGGACAGUGAAAUGAAAAUGUUGGGAAUAAAUGAAACAUCCUUAUAACUGCAA
This is a non-coding RNA of Microcebus murinus (gray mouse lemur), 4376 nucleotides long. Lineage: Eukaryota; Metazoa; Chordata; Mammalia; Primates; Cheirogaleidae. The record is from RefSeq and is a predicted model, not a curated record.